GACGAACGCUGGCGGCGUGCUUAACACAUGCAAGUCGAACGGAAAGACCCUGCUUUUGUGGGGUGCUCGAGUGGCGAACGGGUGAGUAACACGUGAGUAACCUGCCCUUGACUUUGGGAUAACUUCAGGAAACUGGGGCUAAUACCGGAUAGGAGCUCCUGCUGCAUGGUGGGGGUUGGAAAGUUUCGGCGGUUGGGGAUGGACUCGCGGCUUAUCAGCUUGUUGGUGGGGUAGUGGCUUACCAAGGCUUUGACGGGUAGCCGGCCUGAGAGGGUGACCGGCCACAUUGGGACUGAGAUACGGCCCAGACUCCUACGGGAGGCAGCAGUGGGGAAUAUUGCACAAUGGGCGGAAGCCUGAUGCAGCAACGCCGCGUGCGGGAUGACGGCCUUCGGGUUGUAAACCGCUUUCGCCUGUGACGAAGCAUGAGUGACGGUAAUGGGUAAAGAAGCACCGGCUAACUACGUG
Molecule: ribosomal RNA, 468 nt
Filed under: uncultured bacterium
Lineage: Bacteria
Description: partial 16S ribosomal RNA
Rfam family: Bacterial small subunit ribosomal RNA
Source: RNAcentral